This 399-nucleotide ribosomal RNA is filed under the name uncultured bacterium. Its description in RNAcentral is "bacterial SSU rRNA". It matches the Rfam family "Archaeal small subunit ribosomal RNA", at positions 455 to 853 of the family's 1478-position model. The record is from RNAcentral.
GUGUCAGCCGCCGCGGUAACACCGGCAGCUCUAGUGGUAGCCAUUUUUAUUGGGCCUAAAGCGUUCGUAGCCGGUUUGAUAAGUCUCUGGUGAAAUCCUAUAGCUUAACUGUGGGACUUGCUGGAGAUACUAUUAGACUUGAGGUCGGGAGAGGUUAGCGGUACUCCCAGGGUAGGGGUGAAAUCCUGUAAUCCUGGGAGGACCACCUGUGGCGAAGGCGGCUAACUGGAACGAACCUGACGGUGAGGGACGAAAGCCAGGGGCGCGAACCGGAUUAGAUACCCGGGUAGUCCUGGCCGUAAACGAUGUGGACUUGGUGUUGGAAUGGCUUCGAGCUGCUCCAGUGCCGAAGGGAAGCUGUUAAGUCCACCGCCUGGGAAGUACGGUCGCAAGACUGAA